RNAcentral lists this long non-coding RNA (1090 nucleotides) under Eutrema salsugineum. Its description in RNAcentral is "long non-coding RNA (ESAL_LNC000991)". The record is from RNAcentral. Lineage: Eukaryota; Viridiplantae; Streptophyta; Magnoliopsida; Brassicales; Brassicaceae.
UAAGAAAUAAUUCAAUAGAAAUUCCCCAUGGUUCCCAUAAGCAACACCACAUCCACCGCCACAAGUACUACUCUUCGGUCUAACCUGAAAAAGAGAGAGAGUGAGUAUUCGGAAAAAAAACUCAGUGAGAACGAUCCUACCUACCCACUUGAUCUAUACGAAGAAUUAAACAUAACCACAUAUAUAUCUACUUAACCUAAGAUUAAAAAAACAACAAUCAUAAUCUUUCACAAGUACACAGAAACCUAGCACACAAAUUCCCACUCACGAGAACGUCACAUUGUUUAAAUCGGGUGACUCGUCAGCCACAAAUCUCACAGUCCUGUCAGCCCAUGUACUAUACAUACUACCUAUGUGUAUGGUCCAGCCAUGGUCCCACUUCGUGAAACGUCCUUCGUGAAGACCAGCAAACAAUCCGUCUAUAGGUCGGGAUCAAUCAUGCACUCUUACGCGCCUAGACUAACAACAAUUAACAAUACAUACAACAAUUGUCAAAGAAUCAUUCAUGUUCGUUUUAAUUACCAAUCAAUCUUUAAUUCUAGGUUCAGCACACACAUAUAAAACUAUGUCUAGGACAACCUAUAGAUUCACAAGUCCCGCCUCACCUUUGCCAUUGGAUGAUGAAUAAUGAAUAUGGUUCACCUUUAGACAGAUUUGACAUCCAACAGAAAAACGAUCAUAACUUACAACUCAGACUGGGCAUCGGAAGAUUGAUAUGGAAAGCUGGAUUAAGGAUCUUCACGAUGGUAUGUAGAUCGCCUUCUGAAGCUUCCUAUAUCGCCGAGAAAACGCUUCGCAAGUCGGCUACUCGUGGAUCAAACCUUUGUAAAUAUGGCUCAGGAAAACGCUCAUAAAUUUUAGAAGACAAUUCUAAAUAAUGAUCCGUUUUCAGCUAUAGAUAGAUAUGAGGGUCUAGAAUCACUUUACCAAGUUUCGUGCUGAUCUGAUCUGAUUUGACCACUCGGUUAUCUCUCACGCCAGAACAUGUCGGAUCAACCUUCUAGGUUGCUGCAAUAGCUUCAUCUUUGAGGUGUUUUCAUGGUGGCUGCUCAAAUGUGACUCCAGCAGAGCUUCGCUGCAUUGAUCGCUC